RNAcentral lists this ribosomal RNA (462 nucleotides) under Pseudocercospora sphaerellae-eugeniae. RNAcentral's name for it is "eukaryotic LSU rRNA". The stretch from base 105 to 258 matches the Rfam family "5.8S ribosomal RNA". The record is from RNAcentral. Lineage: Eukaryota; Fungi; Ascomycota; Dothideomycetes; Mycosphaerellales; Mycosphaerellaceae.
CCUUUGUCUACGAGUACCCUUUUUCCUCAGCAGGCCUGCCUGCUGGGGGACCUAUAAACUACAUCUUUUUACAAUAACUGUCUGAAAAGUAAUAAAUCAAUUACAACUUUCAACAAUGGAUCUCUUGGCUCUGGCAUCGAUGAAGAACGCAGCGAAAUGCGAUAAGUAGUGUGAAUUGCAGAAUUCAGUGAAUCAUCGAAUCUUUGAACGCACAUUGCGCCCUUUGGUAGCCCAAAGGGCAUAUCUGUUCGAGUGUCAUUUACCUCUUCAAGCUCUGCUUGGUGUUGGGUGCUUGCCUUACUAGGCUCACCUUAAAGAAAUGAGUGCUUGCAUAGCCCGUAAGUAGCGGAGUAGAAUCUGCUGUGCGGGGGCUGUUUAGAGCACUGUAAACAUACAUUUUCACCUUUUGACCUCGGAUCAGAUAGGGAUACCCGCUGAACUUAAGCAUAUCAAUAAGCGGAG